RNAcentral lists this transfer RNA (76 nucleotides) under Bacillota bacterium. RNAcentral describes it as "Firmicutes bacterium (anaerobic digester metagenome) tRNA-Arg". It matches the Rfam family "tRNA". From Rfam's summary of the family: Transfer RNA (tRNA) molecules are approximately 80 nucleotides in length. RNAcentral also lists the same sequence under 1 other name. The record is from RNAcentral. Lineage: Bacteria; Bacillati; Bacillota.
GCGCCUGUAGCUCAGGGGAUAGAGCACGGGACUUCUAAUCCCGGUGUCGCAGGUUCGAUUCCUGCCAGGCGUGCCA